UGAUGAGUUGAAGGAGAGGAGGAUGAAUGAGAAGUGAGGACGGAUUGGAAAGGAUAUGAAAAUGGACCAAUAGAGUUAUCAUGGGGAACUUUUGCCGUGGAUCCCAGGGCUACACUCCCCUCGGCCAUCUUCUUGUUUUCAUCACAUUCAUUGCCUCACUUUUCCUCAUCUUUGCUCUUAUGUGGUUCUUUCCGUUCUGAUUUGUUGAACUCAAUGCGGAUACUUAGAUACAGUCUACAACAUUCAGUCUAGUAAAAACUCAGCCGAUAUGUUGAGUUAUGACCAACCAACGCCAUUGAAGAUCUGCAGUACUGUCCAGUUUACACUGUUCAGUGUGUGUACCAUGGAAUAUGUACAUUCAAUGUACAUUUUACAGCUAAAAAUGAUCCCAUAGAUUAUUCGAUGCAGACACCAAAAGAUAGUUUAAUAUGCUCAAAAGCCUAGCUAAAAUUGUGUACAUAAUAUUAAUGUAGUAUCAAAUUGUUAAAACAAUAUAUUAUAUUUAUAAUGGAUAAAACAGUGCUUUACAGUGUUAUAUCCUCAGAAUAUAUAUAUAUAUAUUCAGAGUAUAUAUAUUCUGAGGUUAUAUCAUAGGAUAACCCAUUUAGUAAAAUUUACCGAUGCUAUGUAGAUAAUUUCUAAGAAGGCAGAUAGGAAAAUGGCAAAUAGAUGAACGAAUAUAAGAAAUUUUAUAGAAAAGAAAAUAGUGAAUUUUUUAAUACUAUCUCGAGUGCCCGGCGCUGCCCAGGUUUAUAUUAUUAUCAUAGUCAAAGAUACUUUCGCCGUUUACCCGCGCUUUGUAUUGAAUCAUGAUUUUAGUUUAACUGCCCGGCGUUUUCCGUAGAAUUGAAAAAAUGUCCAUAAGCUUAACUUACUCCAAGGGAUUCCCAUCGAUUUCCUAUCUAAAGGGUUUUAGCCAGUUUGGUCCAGCUGUUUGGCCAGAUUGGUACAGCUGUUUAGCCAGUUUGGUACAGCUGUUUAGCCAGUUUGGUCCAGCUGUU
This 1001-nucleotide long non-coding RNA is filed under the name Eurytemora carolleeae. RNAcentral describes it as "uncharacterized LOC111696800". Lineage: Eukaryota; Metazoa; Arthropoda; Copepoda; Calanoida; Temoridae. The record is from RNAcentral.